GUGCUUGCUUCUGCAGCACAUAUACUAAAAUUGGAAUGAUACAGAGAAGAUUAGCAUGGGCCCUGCACAUGGAUGACACGCAAAUUCAUAAAGUGUUCCAUAUUUUU
RNAcentral lists this small nuclear RNA (107 nucleotides) under Propithecus coquereli (Coquerel's sifaka). The record is from RNAcentral. Lineage: Eukaryota; Metazoa; Chordata; Mammalia; Primates; Indriidae.